AAUGAUCCUUCGGGUGAACUAAGAAGUGGAAAGUGGCGAACGGGUGAGUAACGCGUGGGUAACCUGCCUCAUGGAAAGGAAUAGCCUCGGGAAACUGGGAGUAAAGCCUUAUAUUAUUGAGUUGUCGCAUGGCAAUUCGAUGAAAACUCCGGUGCCAUGAGAUGGACCCGCGUCCCAUUAGCUAGUUGGUGAGAUAACAGCCCACCAAGGCAACGAUGGGUAACCGGUCUGAGAGGGCGAACGGUCACACUGGAACUGAGACACGGUCCAGACUCCUACGGGAGGCAGCAGUGGGGAAUAUUGCGCAAUGGGGGCAACCCUGACGCAGCAAUACCGCGUGAGUGAAGAAGUUUUCGGAUCCUAAAACUCUUUUAUUGGGGAAGAA
This 385-nucleotide ribosomal RNA is filed under the name uncultured bacterium. Its description in RNAcentral is "bacterial SSU rRNA". It matches the Rfam family "Bacterial small subunit ribosomal RNA", at positions 65 to 449 of the family's 1533-position model. The record is from RNAcentral.